RNAcentral lists this ribosomal RNA (515 nucleotides) under uncultured bacterium. RNAcentral describes it as "bacterial SSU rRNA". It matches the Rfam family "Bacterial small subunit ribosomal RNA", at positions 28 to 537 of the family's 1533-position model. The record is from RNAcentral.
GAUGAACGCUAGCGGGAGGCUUAACACAUGCAAGUCGAGGGGCAGCAUAGGGUAGCAAUACUCUGAUGGCGACCGGCAAACGGGUGAGUAACGCGUAUGCAACCUACCCUGUACAGGGGGAUAACCCGGAGAAAUUCGGACUAAUAUCCCGUAAUAAUAUCCGGAGGCAUCUUUGGAUAUUUAAAGUUCCGACGGUACGGGAUGGGCAUGCGUAACAUUAGCUGGUUGGUAAGGUAACGGCUUACCAAGGCUAUGAUGUUUAGGGGUCCUGAGAGGGUGGUCCCCCACACUGGUACUGAGACACGGACCAGACUCCUACGGGAGGCAGCAGUGAGGAAUAUUGGUCAAUGGGCGCAAGCCUGAACCAGCCAUCCCGCGUGCAGGAAGACGGCCCUAUGGGUUGUAAACUGCUUUUCCAGGGAGAGAAACUUACGCACGUGUUGCGUGACUGACGGUACCCUGGGAAUAAGCAUCGGCUAACUCCGUGCCAGCAGCCGCGGUAAUCGUCGUCUCUA